GACGAACGCUGGCGGCGUGCUUAACACAUGCAAGUCGAACGCGGAAGCUCAGCUUUUGUUGGGUGGAUGAGUGGCGAACGGGUGAGUAACACGUGAGUAACCUGCCUCCUUCUUUGGGAUAACGCCCGGAAACGGGUGCUAAUACCGGAUAGUCACUGGUCUUCGCAUGGGGGUUGGUGGUAAGGGUUUUUCUGGUGGGGGAUGGGCUCGCGGCCUAUCAGCUGGUUGGUGGGGUGAUGGCCUACCAAGGCGUUGACGGGUCGACGGCCUGAGAGGGUGACCGGUCACAUUGGGACGGAGAUACGGCCCAGACUCCUACGGGAGGCGGCAGUGGGGAAUAUUGCGCAAUGGGCGGAAGCCUGAUGCAGCGGCGCCGCGUGAGGGAUGGCGGCCGUGGGGUUGUGAACCGCUUUCGCUCAUGGUCAAGCCGCAACAAUGGUUGUGGUGAGGGUAGUGGGUAAAGAAGCGCCGGCUAACUACGUG
Molecule: ribosomal RNA, 483 nt
Filed under: uncultured bacterium
Lineage: Bacteria
Description: partial 16S ribosomal RNA
Rfam family: Bacterial small subunit ribosomal RNA
Source: RNAcentral